This 305-nucleotide unclassified non-coding RNA is filed under the name plant metagenome. RNAcentral describes it as "partial contains 5.8S ribosomal RNA, internal transcribed spacer 2, and large subunit ribosomal RNA". The stretch from base 1 to 105 matches the Rfam family "5.8S ribosomal RNA", at positions 50 to 154 of the family's 154-position model. The record is from RNAcentral.
GAAAUGCGAUAAGUAGUGUGAAUUGCAGAAUUCAGUGAAUCAUCGAAUCUUUGAACGCACAUUGCGCCCUUUGGUAUUCCUUAGGGCAUGCCUGUUCGAGCGUCAUCUAAACCUUCAAGCCCUGCUUGGUGUUGGGUGCCUGUCCCGCCUCCGCGCGCGGACUCACCUCAAAUCCAUUGGCGGCCACCGCGUCGGCCACGAGCGCAGCAGAAACGCGAACUCGUGAGCCCGUCCGGGCGGCUCCCAGAAGCUACACCCACCCAGUUUGACCUCGGAUCAGGUAGGGAUACCCGCUGAACUUAAGC